CGUCGGGUUUCAGCAGCACUGCUGUGCCAGGCCAAAUAUAGCAUCCCUCCUGGGCCCAGCACAAGGUGCUGGCGAUGGCUGGGAGCUGCUGCCCUGGGAGCAGCCCCUGUUUUGCACAGAGCAGACAGUGGCUCCAUGCCUGUCCUACUCUUCCUGGGCUGUGGUGCCAAAACAACAGUGACUGCAAGCAGGGCACAGCCUGUCGCGUCCUCCCACGCCUGGGGACGGCCCGCUGGGGCUGUGCUUAAUGCCUGCUGUGAGCUCCUGUAGGAACCAUCCCACCCACAGGCACCCAUUGCUACAUGCCAGGAGAUGCCUUGCACCACUGGAGUUGAUAAUUGCAUCUGAGGGCUGAGCACACAGCCUGCAGCAUCGCUGCUGCCACACGGCUGGAGGUAGGAGAGCUCGUACAGGGGGCAGGCAGUGCUGUUAGCACACGUGGCAUCCCCUUGGCAGCACCACAGCACCCUCCCCAGUGAGAACCAGCAGCAGCUGAGGUGCACAGAUCCCUGACUGCUUCUGCAGCCUCCAACCCUAAGGCCAGGACUUAGAGGCCAUGUAUAAGGUUAUUCCUAUGAGGCUUGGUCAUCUACACAAACCAGCACACGCCUCCCCUCACCCAGUUCGGUUGUGCCAAUGACCGGGGUCACGUUCACACCCUGUUAACAGCACAACAUUUACUCAGAAAACUUUUAUUGUAUCAAAAUUCCACCUUACAAAAGUGCAAAGAAGAGUUGCUCUAGGCCCUGUGCCUGUCAUGCAGGGCCGGCGCCCAGUGCCCUGGCAGAGCGUUCAACCCUUUUCCAACCCAGUGGCCCUUGCACAGCAGUGGAUUUCAACACCUUGAGGUGCUGGUGUGCAAGGGCCCACAGUGAGCAGGCAGUCUGGGCCUCUGCCAUUAGCAAAUGAUUUGGACAAGUGCUCCCAGCAAGGAGGAAGCAGGAUGGCAGCACGAGAUCCCUGUCUCCAUCCCUGGCCACGCCAAAGGUAAGUUCCAGCUUCCCAAAGUGACAUCCCCCAGGCAGCGCUGGAGAAGUGACCAGAUCUCAAGCUCAACCCCUUUAAGAACCAUGUGUGUGGGACAAAGUAUUAUAACCAGAAAUGGAGCAAAGUGAACUCUGUGAGGGGCUGAGGGAGGAUUACUUCCUGCAUCAUCCUCCUGGGGCAUCACCGUGUGCCCUCCCGCACAGUUCCCUGGUGGCACGCUGGCAGUGCCUCUAGCUGUGGGCUGUCAGGAGCCGGACCAGCACGCCCACCAGCAGCACAGCAAGGGCAGCAGCAGCAGCCAGCACCCGGCAGACAAUCAGGGCCCUCCAUGCCACAGCAGGAGGAGCAGGGACAUCCUCUGGCUCUUCCUGAGUGAUGAGCUGGUGAUCUGGGAGCCUCUCGCCUCUUCCCACCAUGCUGUCAGGCAGCACCACGGUCUCCACGUUGUCUGUGUCUACAGAGAUGUAAUCUGUGCAAGAGAGGUGAGUGCUGUAGCGAAGCUGAGCUGCAAAGCCUGCAGCCCCCAUCUGCCCCCUGUCCAGUCCUGAGGGUCCUCUCCCGAGGCUCAGGGCUGAGGGAAGAUGCAGGUGUGCUCUGGCUCUCCCUUGGAGCAGCCAGGGUGGUGACAAGGGUAACGGCCACCAGCACAGACACUGUGCUCUUUCCAGAUAUCAAAGCUGGAAGAACAGACACCACAGCCGUGGCUGUGAAGGAGAGGAAGGGCUGGGUGGAGGAUUUGUGCUCCCUCCCUGUUGUAAGGCAUGGUUACGUACCUAUAGCAGAUGUUUUGUUAGCAGCUGUGCCAUUGGAGUUCACAUCUUCCAGCUGUUUUUUCAGACCAGCUCGGACUUGAGCCUAAAAGCACACACAAGAGUUGUUCUCAGAGCAGAGAUGUGCUGCCCAGCCAAGCAAACCCGAGCCUCCUCCCUGACCCUCCCAAAGCAAGCAUGCUUAGCCCAAACUGCUCCAGUGCUACAGAAGAGGACAGAACUGGUGUCACUUUAGCUUCCCACAGACAUCUUUACUGCUAUUCUGGGGCAAAAGCUGGCAUAACACCUACUAAGAGUUACUGCAGGGAAGCACAAGUCUUACCUCUUCUGCAGCUUUCUUCCAAUCCAUGCGCAUGACAAAAGCGGAAAAGGAGAGGGAUUGCAAAGAGAUACAAAGGAUCAUCCCUACCCACAGACCUGCCAGAAUGGAAAUGAAACUUCAUUGAGUGCUGAUGGAAACCUCACUGCUUUCAUGGUCAAAGUCACGGUCAAAAUGCCAAACACAGCCAGAGCUGCAGAGCUGAGCAGAGGAUGCACGUACCCAGCACCCCCAUUUUGGCUGCAAACAUCAGUGAGAUGCCGAUGGGCAAACCGACAGCGUAAUAACCGACAGCGUUGGCGAUGGCACCCAGCUUCUGCUUCCCUGUGCCUCUCAGCACACCACCACAGGUUGCCUAAGGAAAGCAGCAGGGAAGAGGGAGAACUUGAGAGCUACAGAAGAGUUGUUUUGCAGCAGUGCCAAGCACAGGGGAUGCUGAGGUGCUACGGGUGAUGCAAGCUGCUGCUGUGACAGUUUUUUCAGUUUGCUUUUCUGUAUUGUAAUAGAUCAGGAAAGACCUAAAGGCAGCUUUGCACUCCCCACUGUACCUCUACUUGCAGGGAGGAAUUGCUCCCCAUGCUGGGUUACUCACUGCUGCUGCAUCAAACAAGUGGAAUGGAGCAAAGAUGAUCAUCACUUUGGACACCAGCAUAACGAUCUCCCUGUGAGAAAGACGUAUGUACUGAUCAGGGAAAGCAGCACAGCUUGGGCUCAGGGCACUCUGGUUCUGAUGCAUCUCCUGGGCCAGCUGCAAACCCUGAUCCCAGCCUCUGAGCUGCUCCUGGGCAGAUCAUGUUACCCAAAACGGUAACAAAACCCCAAAGAAAGCUGCCAACCCACUUGUCACUGGUGAAGAUGUAGCCCACCACGUCUUUGAGGGUUCCCAGUAACGUUGCAACCACCACAGCAAAAACUCCUGAAAGAAAAAGAAGUGGAUGAGCCUCAAAGGCUGCAUCUGCUGCUCUUGAGCAGGUCCAGACCUCAGGGGCUUCACGUGAUGGGGAUGGGGCUUGGCAGACCUCCAGGUAUUACUGCAGAGCAGGACAAGGCUGCUGUCCUUACUUUGCCCCUCGAUGCUCUAUCCACCAUCUGGAGGUGGAAGACAGAAUGCUAAAUUGCACUUUAACUAUCAAAGCCUUUGCACUAGGUUCCUUCUUCCCUGGCAGAAGAGCCAGGGUCUCACCCUGUCCAAACAGAGUAAUCUGAACAAGUGGGCUUGGGUUGCUGGGAAUGGUCACCAGUCCUGUGAGAGGUGAACUGAACCUAUUGCUGAUAAUUCUUUUAUUCCCCUCUGCAGGGACCUGGGCUGACCUGCGCACAGCAGAGCAGUGAUGCAGGACGUCUUGGCUUGCACUACAUCCCCUGAUCCCAAGGCAUUGCCCACUCUGAUGCUCACGGCCACACUGAAGCCCAGAGGCACCUGAGAAGCAACAGACAAAGAAGAGCACUGCCCAAGCUCCCAAGCCUGCAGCCAAGACCCAAGCUACCAUCCAGCAAACACCAGGAAGUCCUUCAUCAGUGUCUGAGGAGAAAGCCAAGAAGGUGGCUCCUGCUUCAGGGCCUGCAGGGCUGAGACCUGAUGUGCUGCUGAUCAGAGAGGAGUCACACUCAAUCUCACUCUGACCUGGAGACCUCGGGGUCCUGCCGGAGGAGCAGGAGGAUCUGCUCAGUGUUGAUGAGGAUCGCCCAGCAAGGAAAGCAAAACAGCAGCAGGAUGAGGAUCCCUCGCUGCAGGAUGGUGCCCACUUGCUUCAGGUUUUUGCUGCCAUAUGUCUACGUGAGGACAGAGGACCAAACAGCGGCCACCACCAGGCUGGUUGGGUUUAACUGGCUCUCGGGUGCAUUGUGCUUCCCUCUGCUAUCCAUCCUCCCACCUUUUGUGCCCCAAACCACACCACACAGGAGGUGAGACAACCCCACCAGUAACAAGGAAGAGGGAGCUGCCACCAACCUGGGACAUCAGCGUGUCACAUGCCGAGGCCAGACCAGAACCAACGGAGAUGCCGAUCACAUUGAUGACCUGGAGGAGAUACGAGUGACUUGGGCAAGUGAGAAUCACAGGGAACGUGGCCCAAAGCACCAUAUCUCUCCCUGUUGGGAAGGG
Centrocercus urophasianus (Greater sage-grouse) is the source of this 4180-nucleotide long non-coding RNA. RefSeq lists it as uncharacterized. The record is from RefSeq and is a predicted model, not a curated record. The transcript has 4 exons. NCBI's taxonomy places the organism in Eukaryota, Metazoa, Chordata, Aves, Galliformes, Phasianidae.